AUGCCUGCAAACAAGACUUCUCCAGCGAAUCAGAAGGACGGACGUAACAUCUCUGUUGACAUGUACCCGUUCAUACGCAAGUACAAGGACGGCAGCAUCGAGCGUUUCCUACGCAGUCCAUUCGUGCUGGCGUCGCCGGAUCAGGGCGGCAACCGCGGGGUGGCCACGAAGGACGUCGUCGUCGACAAGGCCACCGGCGUGUCUGUUCGGCUGUUCCUCCCGUCGCGUGCCGCCGACACCGCAGGCAGGAACCGGCUUCCCCUCGUCAUCUACGUCCAUGGCGGCUCGUUCUGCACGGAGAGCGCUUUCGGCCGGACGUACCACCGCUACGCGACCUCCCUCGCCGCCAGCGCCGGGGCCCUAGUCGUGUCGCUGGAGUACCGUCUGGCGCGGGAGUUCCCCAUACCUGCGGCCUACGACGAUUCGUGGGCCGCGCUCCAGUGGGCGGCGUCCUUGUCCGACCCGUGGCUGGCCAGCUACGCCGACCCUGCGCGCACGUUCCUGGCCGGCGACAGCGCCGGCGGCAACAUCGUUUACCACACGGCAGUCCGCGCCAGCCACGAAAUCAACGACGACAUGAUGGACGUUGCGGGGUUGAUCAUAGUGCAUCCUUACUUCUGGGGAGCCAAGCGGCUGCCCUCGGAGCUCGCGUGUGCGGACGACAGCCAGGGCGCCGCGGUGGUGUUCCCACCGUACGGGGUGGACCGGCUGUGGCCGUUCGUCACGGCCGGCCAGGCCGGCAACGACGACCCCUGGAUCGAUCUUCCGACCUCGGAGAUCUCAUCGCUGGCUUGCCGCCGCGUGCUCGUGACCGUGGCUGGAAAGGACACUCUGCGCGAGCGUGGCCUCGACCUGGCGGCCCGCAUGCGUGAUCACGACGCGCCGUGGCCUUGGAUGAUGCAGGGGCGCCGCGAGGUGACGGUGGAGGAGUCGGAGGGCGAGGACCACGGCUUCCACCUCUACAGUCCGCUGAGGCCCACCAGCAAGAGGCUUAUGGGGAGCAUCGUGGAGUUCAUAAACCAGCAGCCCAACUCGUCGCCUGGUAAUCGUAUGGUGCUUGGCGUGCCCACGACGCCGUUUAACGACGUGUUUGGGUAUGGCAUGGCCAUGAAGUCCUGGGGCACACGCUCCAGUAUGGCUACUUCCAUGAAAAUUGGAAGAGUUGGGCCAUCCAACAAAAUCUCAGUUCGACUGCCGAUGCCUGCUGGCAACGCUCAUCACAAACAUCCAUUAUCUGCUCCGGUUCCGUGGGGUUGUGUGAUCAACAAGUUUUUCUAG
RNAcentral lists this ribosomal RNA (1278 nucleotides) under Triticum aestivum (bread wheat). RNAcentral describes it as "partial small subunit ribosomal RNA". The record is from RNAcentral. Lineage: Eukaryota; Viridiplantae; Streptophyta; Magnoliopsida; Poales; Poaceae.